AUUUUUAGCGGGAAGAAGAAAAGAACCCGAAGUCAAAGGCCACGCUGUUUACUUCUGACCAUAACUGACCGUAACUUGACUGUUUCAGAAAGAUGAGAGAAGUGCAGAGGAAAUCAUCAUCUGUCUUGGCAUGCUAAAAGAGGAGAUAAAGAACAGUAGCAAAUAUGCUGCUAGGCCAUUGACCAGCAGUUGGGUACUAAGAAAGGAGAAGCUCUUAUUGACCUGUAAAAUGAAAACAGGACAUUUUCAAAUUGUUUUGUUGUAGGGAUGGGGUACAAGUAGAAGAUUGGUCAAUAUUAUGUACAUGUACCUUGAUAUGAAUUUAUUUUUGAUUGUGUUCAAUGAUAAACUGGAAAUAAAUG
Molecule: long non-coding RNA, 362 nt
Organism: Mytilus californianus (California mussel)
Lineage: Eukaryota; Metazoa; Mollusca; Bivalvia; Mytilida; Mytilidae
Exons: 3
Source: RefSeq, a predicted model, not a curated record